UUGCAAGUGCUGUAUUCUGGCGUAGACAUGCCAGAUGGGGUUAGUGCUCGCCUCAAACACACCACUACAAGUCAAUUAACCAUCGUAAGGACUUUAGUAAUAAACUAUUUAUGAAGGUAAAAAAGUGACUUAGUUCUGCUUUGACAGGAAACUGUGAGGCAUAGGUGUGUAUCUUUACUAUAGCCUAGUUUUUUCUCUUUUCCGUUUACAAUGUGUUUUCUUAUACCAAAUAAGGAGACGAUUAAGGUCCUCCUCUUUCUGAAGAUUAUAAAGUGUGAAACAUGUAUCAGAAGUUUGCUGAUUGGUGAAGACGCCUUUCCUCUGUUUUGUAUGAAGAUUUUUUAUUCUGAACUUUGACAUUAAAAGAUACCAGUAUAAUUGGUAAUUUGUAAACUCCUUUAAACAAGUCUCAAGAGUGAAUUAUUUUUAUAUAAACCUGUUAACUGAAACCUGAUUAUAAAUAUAUAUUGUAUAUAGGAUAUAUAUAUAUAAAUAUACAUUAAUUCCUUACGAGCUCCAAGAGUUGAAUCCAAACUGAGUGUGGCUGGACCUUCCUUAGGCAUUACUGAUCAGCUGGUUUUAUCAUCUACCCCGGACGUUCUGCAGUGGGUGAAGAUCAGCCCAAACUUCUGGUGGUGGACAAGCAGCAGUUCAACACCUGAAAACACUUUAACAGCGGAUCAGAAUCAGUCGACGCUAUCAGAGAGUUCAAACAAACAUGACAUCCCAGUCACAAAACCUGCUCAAAUGUUGGUGUCGGUGGUCCAGGAGGCACAACCCACCGUAAACUCACAUUCAGUUCAUCCACAGAUCCCAUCACAGUACUACCCAAACUACCUUGCUGACCCUGAUGAAAUUGCCAAAGUGGACAAGAUCAACCUCUAUGUAAAAUGUGCUUGAAAGACCAUGGAAGUGGACCUGUUCCCAAUGGAAAGCAACUCUGUUUUACUAAAGGAGGCCUGUGAAAGGGCAGGGAAGAAACCAGAGAAAAUGUCUCUGAUUUUUGAAGGUAAUCAAUCAUUUAUAAAUUGUUCUUGAGGUUGAUCUGAUGUAGACCUUGUCAUUUGUAAUGAUUCAUGAAAUGUAUUCACAUGAAAAUUUGAAGCACCAUCUUAAAAACUUUAGUCUGGAUGUGAACAAGACAGUGCACGAGUAUGGGCUACGAGGAGGAAGCACGGUGCACUUGAUCCAUACCUAAAUCAUGCCUGGAAUAUGCAUCAGGAACAAGUUCUGUUUACAGUAAUACACUACAUUAAAUAUUAUUUAAGCUCAAUCAUUGUACUAUUAUUAUUAAGUGCUUUAAAGCAGUGUCAUUGUAAAGGUUUAUUGUUAAAAGUGUUGCAUUGCUGUGUACAGUUCUCUCAAUAUUGUAAAAUAAAAACUAAACUUGAGUACACUGUUACCUCAGCAAUUUUAUUUUAAUGCCAAAUUCUGAUUUGAUUUUGCCAUGAGACAUAUUGUGAAAAACACUAUAUAAAUAAAACUGACUAAUAAAUGAGUUCAUUCAGACACUGUUUACUUUUACAUGCGAGACUUUAUGGUUGAGAUAAGAUGUAAUUAUACAAGGAUCCUGGGACAUUCACUGGCAGAAAAGUUUGAAAAUGUAAACAGAAUGGACAUUCAAUAUUUUUAGUGUGAUGUGUGAUAGUGGCUUCUUAAUAAACCACAGUUUACACCAUAAUAGUGCUGCUGAAAACAGUUUGAGUGAAUGAAUAAAUUGGUCGAAGUAAAGGUGCAGUAUGAGAUUUCUGAAAAACACUGUUGAAAGUGGAUCGGACUGAGCACCAAAUACACUUGUAGCCAAUCAGCAGUAAGGGGCAUGUCCACUCAUGGGGGGGAGGUGGCUGUGCUGCAUAGUUUGUUCGAGCACCGAUAGGACCCUAUUGUAAUUGCUUGGUCAAUUCUUCUUCUUCUCCGAAAUGAAUUG
Molecule: long non-coding RNA, 1927 nt
Organism: Megalobrama amblycephala (Wuchang bream)
Lineage: Eukaryota; Metazoa; Chordata; Actinopteri; Cypriniformes; Xenocyprididae
Exons: 4
Source: RefSeq, a predicted model, not a curated record